This 497-nucleotide ribosomal RNA is filed under the name uncultured bacterium. RNAcentral describes it as "partial 16S ribosomal RNA". It matches the Rfam family "Bacterial small subunit ribosomal RNA", at positions 28 to 507 of the family's 1533-position model. The record is from RNAcentral.
GAUGAACGCUGGCGGCGUGCCUAAUACACGCAAGUCGAGCGAACGGACGAGAAGCUUGCUUCUCUGAUGUUAGCGGCGGAAGGGUGAGUAACACGUGGAUAACCUACCUAUAAGACUGGGAUAACUUCGGAAAACCGGAGCUAAUACCGGAUGAUAUUUUGAACCGCAUGGUUCAAAAGUGAAAGACGGUCUUGCUGUCACUUCUAGAUGGAUCCGCGCUGCAUUAGCUAGUUGGUAAGGUAACGGCUUACCAAGGCAACGAUGCAUAGCCGACCUGAGAGGGUGAUCGGCCACACUGGAGCGGGGACACGGUCCAGACUCCUACGGGAGGCAGCAGUAGGGAAUCUUCCGCAAUGGGCGAAAGCCUGACGGAGCAACGCCGCGUGAGUGAUGAAGGUCUUCGGAUCGUAAAACUCUGUUAUUAGGGAAGAACAUAUGUGUAAGUAACUGUGCACAUCUUGACGGUACCUAAUCAGAAAGCCACGGCUAACUACGUG